GCUUUACUGUAGCCUGGUAUUGGGUUCGGGCUUUGCUUGCGCAGGAUAGGUGGGAGACUAUGAGACUUUCCUUGUGGGGAAAGUGGAGUCAAUGGUGAGAUACCACUCUAGCAAGGCUAGAAUUCUAACCCUGACCCGUAAUCCGGGGAGGGAACAGUAUCAGGUGGGCAGUUUGACUGGGGCGGUCGCCUCCUAAAUGGUAACGGAGGCGCACAAAGGUUCCCUCAGGCUGGUUGGAAAUCAGCCGGAGAGUGUAAAGGCAUAAGGGAGCUUGACUGCGAGAGCUACAACUCGAGCAGGGUGGAAACACGGUCUUAGUGAUCCGACGGCACAGCGUGGAAUGGCCGUCGCUCAACGGAUAAAAGUUA
RNAcentral lists this ribosomal RNA (368 nucleotides) under Oculatella hafneriensis str. HINDAK 1982/12. RNAcentral describes it as "bacterial LSU rRNA". It matches the Rfam family "Bacterial large subunit ribosomal RNA", at positions 2098 to 2465 of the family's 2925-position model. Lineage: Bacteria; Bacillati; Cyanobacteriota; Cyanophyceae; Oculatellales; Oculatellaceae. The record is from RNAcentral.